Molecule: long non-coding RNA, 3960 nt
Filed under: Mytilus galloprovincialis (Mediterranean mussel)
Lineage: Eukaryota; Metazoa; Mollusca; Bivalvia; Mytilida; Mytilidae
Source: RNAcentral
CUUUUACAAAAAUCUUCUCCUCUGAAACUACUGGGCCAAUUUUUACCAAACUUGGCCACAAUCAUCAUUGGGGUAUGUAGUUUAAAAAUUGUGUCCCGUGACCUGGCCAACUCACCAAGAUGGCCGCCAUGGCUAAAAAUAGAACAUAGGGGUGAAAUGAAGAUUUUGGCUUAUAACUCUGAAACCGCAGCCUGUAGAGCAAAUCUGACAUCGGGUAAAAUUGUUUAUCAAGUCAAGAUCUAUCUGCCCUGAAAUUUUCAGAUGAAUCUGACAACCUGUUGUUGGGUUGCUGCCCCUGAAUUGGUAAUUUUAAGGAAAUUUUGCUGUUUUUGGUUAUUAUCUUGAAUAUUAUUAUAGAUAGAGAUAAACUGUAAACAUCAAUAAUGUUAAGCAAAGAAGAUUUACAAAUAAGUCAACAUGAUGGAAAUGGUCAAUUGACCCCUAAGGAGUUAUUGUCCUUUAUAGUCAAUUUUUAACAAUUUUCAUAAAAUUUGUAAAUUUUAACUAACAUUUUCCACUGAAACUACUGGGCCAAGUUCAUUAUAGAUAGAGAUAAUUGUAAGUAGCAAGAAUGUUCAGUAAAGUAAGAUGUACAAACACAUCACCAUCACCAAAACACAAUUUUGUCAUGAAUCCAUCUGCUUCCUUUGUUUAAUAUUCACAUAGACCAAGGUGAGCGACACAGGCUCUUUAGAGCCUCUAGUUUUUUUUAGCAUAAAUUAUCUCCCUUUGCCUUCUUUUGAACUUUUUAGAUAUCAAAUGCUGUGGGUUUUUUGUGGGGCAUUUGAUUUACUUUUCAACAUGCACAAUGUCUGCUAUUCGAGCCCCUUAUUGGUAUUACAAAUAUACUUCUGUUUGGGUGACAUUAAAUUAAAGUUUUAUGAUUACCUUUUUCUUCCCCUAAAUUAAAAUAUAAGUAUCCUUAAAAACUUUAAGACCCUAAAUUGUAAUGUGUGUUUAUAAUGUUAUAUUUGGUGCAGGUUGUCUGAACAUUUAUAAUAUAUUUACUUCAAACAUUUUAUAUUUAUAUUUAUACUGUAAGAAUAUCUAUGAGUAUUGUUGCAUGUAAAAUAUUAUACUUGAAGAGCUUGCUAGAGCAAUUCACAUUUAACAAGGGAUGGUAUAAAAGUGUUUCUGCAAUAUCCCUUGUUUAUUUCUUUCCAUAUCAGUAUGUUUUUCAUUUUAUCAUGUUAAUAUGACCUAAGGUUUUGUUUAAACCUUAAUUUGUAUCUUCCUUUAGUGGAUUUGUGACAUUUGGAACUCGGUAAAUUACCAAUGCCUUCUAAAAACUAAGCUACUUAAAUCUUAAUUUUGUUUUAUUUAGAGAUAUUACAUUAAAAUGUAUGUGGGAGUGUAGGAACGGAAGUUUAAUUGUUGACUGUGGGACAUGGGUCUUUUUUUAGUAUGUGUCUAUUAGGCCACAGUUUUUUAAUUUGUUGGUUUACGGAUUUUCCCUAUGAAAAAGUCGGGUCGGUCAGUCAGAAAAAAAAAUCUUUCAAGCAGAAAAUAUGCACAAAAAAAAUGCAUUUCGUCUAAUAAUUUCCCGUGAAAAGGGGGGUUGUGUCAAUGGACAAAGACGAAAUGAAAUCGUCAUUUCAUAAACAAGAAAACAAAAAAAGAUCCGUGUAGCUCUUAAUCAAGUUCAGGAAGCUUGGUGAAUAUUAAUCUUCAAGCACGGAAACUGAUAUAGAAAAAAAUGCAAAAAGUCAUACGCAAAAUAAGUUUCAAAUUAACACACGUUUCAAAAACGUGAUAGACUCAUCCACUGGAAAAACGAGGAUAUUGGGUUUGUCAGCUGUCAUUCCCGUUUUUUAUAUCCAAAUGGACGAAUUGUUUUUAUUAUCAAUGACACAAGAAAAUUCCAAAUUAUUUGUUUAUACUUAGUAUUUUAACUUGACGUCUUCCACGUUUGGACAAGUUCGUUUUCAAUUUUUCUAUGGGAUGAUGCAUAUUACAGAAUGAUGACAAAUACAGGAAACGAACUUAUUGUUUAAUGGGUUUUAAACACAGGUUUCGUUUCGCAAAAUUAUUUGCUCAAACAACUUUUCAAGGUCAGUUAUGAUUGAUUUGUCUAUAUUUAGAUAUGUAAAUUGGAAGUUGUUUUUUUUUUCACAACAGAAAUAUUAUCAAUUCUAUAAGUAUUUAAUGCAUUUCAUUUCAUAUAAAAAAAAAAGAAUAUUUUUUUUAUUUUUUCAGGGACAAUGUAUUUGUUAGGGUCGGCGGGAAUAAAAAAGCAUGAGAAGUCAAAUUUUUUUUUCAUUCUGCAAAUCGGCAAAAUCGGGUCAGCGGAUCCGUAAACCAACAAAUUAAAAAACUCUGGCCUUACUGUUAUGCAAAAUUAUCUAAAAAUGGUUCUUGGUUAUGGGGAUAUUUUAAAAGUCCCUUCCUACCCUCCCACAUACAUUUUAAAAGAAUAGUCCUUGGCUAAUUAUUGUUUUGUUUUAUAGAAAACUAUUGUUCUUCCAAACAUGGACGAUCAAGUUCUUCCUACAUUUGUACAGUAUCUACCUAAAGGUUCACAUGGUAAUGAAUAUACAGCAGAAGUUGAUCAGAAACAUUCUUAAACUUACAAAAAUGUUGACCAUCAAUAAUAUUGAUAGCAAAAACACAUGGUACAACAAUGAUAUAUCCAUCAGUUUACAAAUGCUUUUAUAUGUUUUAUUCCCCACCUACGAUAGUAGAGGGGCAUUAUGUUUUCUUGUCUGUGCAUACAUUAGUUCUUACAUUCGUUUGUCUGUUUGUUUGUUUGUCUGUCCCACUUCAGAUUAAAGUUUUUUGUUAAAGUAGUUUUUGAUGAAGUUGAAGUCAAAUCAACUUGAAAGUUGACACUUAGUACACAUGUUCUCUAUAAUAUGAUCUUUCUAAAUUUAAUGCCAAACUAUGGUUUUUACCCCAAUUGCAGGGUCCACACAGUACAUAGAAAAUGAUAUUGCAAGAGGGGGUAUCUGUUUACUGGGGACACUUUAUAGAAAUUUUAUGUAUGAUUGUUGGAAAUUUUUUAAAAAGUAAAUAAAAACUGUCACAGUUAAACUUGUCUCAUGCCAACCUUAAAAAUAUUUCUGUACUACUGACAACUGCAGAAAAGCAGUUUAUGACAUAAGUGUCCAAUGGGUUAAUUUGUUAUGCCUCAGUCUUUAAGUGGCCGGUGAAUAUAUUUUAAGUUACAUUUGAUAUUAAUGUUGAAGGCAUGUAAUCCACUAUAUCAUAUAGUUUUACUCAUGUCAAUACUUUCAUAAUUCAAAACUACAGUAAUUGCUAAGAUAUAAAUUGUAUCUGCAGAUAUUGAGCUGAUUUGUUGUUUGUAGUUACCGAUCAAUUUUCGUUUCAGAUGAUUUAUAUAAUUAGUCAUUUAUAGUCUGCAUUUGUGUAUAAUCCUAUAAAAAAUCAUUAGAUUCCACACAUGAACUUUGAAAUAAUACAAUAAUGAAAAAAGUCUUCAGGUACUUUAGUUCCAUAUGAUUUGCACCCUUCUACCAAUUAUAUGUCUUUAGUAUAAAAAAAAGUGUGUAUAAUACAUUUUCUUGAAAUGUCUAUUUAGAAAAAAGUAAUCUUUUUCAAGGAAAAGUAAUAUAUGUACAAAACAGUCUGCAUUUUCAAACAAACAUUUAGUAUUUACUGCAAUAAAUUAAUACAGCUGGAAGGUGCGUUUAUGAGAAAUAUUUUGUUAAGAGUAACUUUUAUUUGUUAUACUUUUGUGAAUAUAAGUUGUAUAUUUCUUUGUUCUGUUUAAAUUAUUUUGUUUGUCUUAUAUUCAUGGUGUAUAUUUCUAUAUUUAAAUUUAUAUUUAAAUUAUUUUGUUUGUUUUAUAUUCAUGGAAGUGAAUUUUUGUUGAUUUUAUAUUUAUGAUAGAUAAUUAUCAAUCAAAGUUAUUUUUCUUAUAUUUUUUUUUAUUUCAUUACAUGGUAACAGGUAGGUGUAAUGUUAUAGUUAAGAAAUAUAUAUAUAUAUACUUAAACAUUG